This 87-nucleotide transfer RNA is filed under the name Gemmatimonadales bacterium. RNAcentral's name for it is "tRNA-Ser". It matches the Rfam family "tRNA". Rfam says of the family: Transfer RNA (tRNA) molecules are approximately 80 nucleotides in length. Their secondary structure includes four short double-helical elements and three loops (D, anti-codon, and T loops). RNAcentral also lists the same sequence under 1 other name. Lineage: Bacteria; Pseudomonadati; Gemmatimonadota; Gemmatimonadia; Gemmatimonadales. The record is from RNAcentral.
GGACAGGUGGCCGAGUGGUUGAAGGCACCACCCUGGAAAGGUGGCAUACCUGCAAGGGUAUCGAGGGUUCGAAUCCCUCCCUGUCCG